RNAcentral lists this ribosomal RNA (497 nucleotides) under uncultured bacterium. Its description in RNAcentral is "partial 16S ribosomal RNA". It matches the Rfam family "Bacterial small subunit ribosomal RNA", at positions 28 to 507 of the family's 1533-position model. The record is from RNAcentral.
GAUGAACGCUGGCGGCGUGCCUAAUACAUGCCAGUCGAGCGAACAGAUGAGGAGCUUGCUCCUCUGACGUUAGCGGCGGACGGGUGAGUAACACGUGGAUAACCUACCUAUAAGACUGGGAUAACUUCGGGAAACCGGAGCUAAUACCGGAUAAUAUAUUGAACCGCAUGGUUCAAUAGUGAAAGACGGUUUUGCUGUCACUUAUAGAUGGAUCCGCGCCGCAUUAGCUAGUUGGUAAGGUAACGGCUUACCAAGGCGACGAUGCGUAGCCGACCUCAGAGGGUGAUCGGCCACACUGGAACUGAGACACGGUCCAGACUCCUACGGGAGGCAGCAGUAGGGAAUCUUCCGCAAUGGGCGAAAGCCUGACGGAGCAACGCCGCGUGAGUGAUGAAGGUCUUCGGAUCGUAAAACUCUGUUAUUAGGGAAGAACAAAUGUGUAAGUAACUAUGCACGUCUUGACGGUACCUAAUCAGAAAGCCACGGCUAACUACGUG